This is a long non-coding RNA of Polyodon spathula (Mississippi paddlefish), 663 nucleotides long. RefSeq lists it as uncharacterized. NCBI's taxonomy places the organism in Eukaryota, Metazoa, Chordata, Actinopteri, Acipenseriformes, Polyodontidae. The transcript has 4 exons. The record is from RefSeq and is a predicted model, not a curated record.
CAGGAUAGCAGUAAUGUUUUACUGACUAGUGGUGCAAUAGCUGAACACCCUCCUCUUAGCUCAGCGCUCUUUCCCAAAUGAACUCCCAGGCUACCCAGCUAGGCUCCUCCCCCCCUGGAACAAUCUAAACCAAUAAAUGUAAUCUUUUAGAAUAAACAACGGAUAGUUUUCAUUUUACUUACUUUCUACAAUACAUUUUAUAAACAAGCAUAUCCAAAAGCUGUUUAUUCCGAUAGCAAAGUUAAAAAAAAAAAAAAAAAAAAAAAAAAAAACAGAUUUUCCCCUUUUUUUUAUAUUCCAAGACCAAAACCUCCCCCUCUGAUUUUGAAGGUGUGUUUGCCCGGGACUCCUGGCCACACCUUACCCAAGAUAGCGGCCCCUAUUACACAAACUUCCCUUACAGCUUUACAGCUAUACAACAGUCUCCCACCUCUCACAGCUGUGGUUCCACACACAGAUUAUAAGACCGGUCAACUCUCCCAUGUUCACCAGGAGUCUCCCAUAUUUUGGACACUUCUCUCUGACAUCACCUGGGACACAAUAUGAUGGCUAACACGAGCGGAAGCUGUCACCAAAAGCCAGCACUUAACCAGACAACACUGCACUAUUGUUCAUGAUUAAUUGUAUUUGCACCACGAGCACUAUAGCACUCACUGUGGACUU